CGGAGUAUGUGUGUGAGUGUGUGUGGGGGGGGUGUGAAUGUGUGUGUGUGUAUAUAUAUGUCGUUUAACCUGGUUCCAUCCCUCCACACCACUCCAUCCCUGGUCCUUGGGAACAUAUCUGGAAUCAAAAUAGAAAUUAACAGGGAUAAUAGGGUUGAACAUACCCAUUUCUGUCCCCCGAAACCAACCACUGCUACUUCAGAAAUUGAUAUGGAAAUGUUAAAAUCCAGACAAAACUCUAGAGCAAGAAACAGCCUUCAGACUGUUAGGAAAAAUAAACAUUACACAGGACCCAUAUGUCCAUGCGCAUAACUUAAACAAGGAUUCAUAGAAAUUUACUCCUCCCAGCUUGUCACACACUCAUACACUUGGAUAUAUUCUACUUGUUUCUCUCUCUCUCUCUUUUUUUUUUUUGUAAUGCUGGUCACAGCCCAUGAAAUUGAUUUCACUACACACCAAUGAAUGGGUUCUUAUCUUGCUGUUCAAGUCAUCAUCUUUGAGCAUCUCCCCUCCCUAGGGCUUUGUAAGAGUGAAUAUGAGUAGCCAACUGUUCUGUGUGCUUGGUGGAGGAACAAGGGCAGAGGUGAGGUGCAGAGAUGAGGAUGAGAGAGUGUAGCGAGGGUGUAGCUCCCUGAGUGGAGACGACUAGCUCUUAUAAAGGCAUCAGCCCAUGAAGACUUGAUUGGCCAUGGGCUGCCCCAAGAAAAGGGGAGACUGGCAUUCUGCUGCCAGCCUGAGGGUCACAGCUUUGUAGGCACAUUGUAGGGAAUUUCCCAAAGCAUGGAGGAGGACCUCACUCCCUUCAUUCUUCCUCUCUUCCUCACUCCUUGUAUUAGUCUGUUCUCACGGUGCUAAUAAAGACAUAUCUGAGACUGAGUAAUUUAUAAAGAAAAGAGGUUUAAUUGACUCACAGUUUUGCAUGGCUGGCAAAGCCUCAGGAAACUUACAAACAUGGCAGAAAGGGAAGCAAACACGUCCUUCUUCACAUGGCGGCAGGAAAGAGAAUGAGAGUGAGGGAAGGGGGAAGCCCCUUAUAAAACCAUCACAUCUUGUGAGAACUCACUAUCACAAGAACAGCAUGGGGGAAACUGCCCCCAUGAUCCAAUUAUCUCCACCUGGUCCCGCCCUUGACAUGUGGGGAUUAUUACAAUUCAAGAUGAGAUUUUGAGUGAGUCACAGCCAAAUCACUCCCCUCACCUCCUCUUGUCCUUCUCCUUCCCUCAGUUCUUGAGGCCAGCAGCAAUUCAGUGGCUCAGUCACUACCAGGAUCUGGCCAAAGGGGCUUCCUGUCUAGAUCCUGGCCCACCUCCUGGCUCAUGGCCCUGGAUGAGCCCCAUGCUUACCCUGGGGUGCUGGCCCUUGCUUCUGAGAGUCCUCAGAUGGGCUGAUGGCUAUGCUGGGCUAGAGGCCUGUAGGUGAAGAGCCUCAGAGCCCUGCCCAUUGGUUACUGGGUCAUUAGUAAUGGGGGUAGGGAGGGAUCUGUAGAUGUUGGUAUUUGUUUUAAUGCUUUCUAGAGCACAGCCCAUCCCAAGCAUAUAAUUUUCAUUAUAUGAUAUCAACAUUUAGCUUCAGCAAUGGAAAUGUCAACAUUAAUUAUUUUCAAGGAGUCUUGAUGGCUCUGGGAAUAAAUCAAUAUAAAUAAUGUUUCCAUAAACUCUGAAUCACGCUCCUAAUAGUGUUAUAGCUAUAAUUUUAAUAUUCAAAACAAUUUUUCUUUGCAUCUUAGCAAUUAAUUGCUGCUAAGUGCUCAUUUUUUGGGAUCCUUAUUGCUGUCAGCUCAGAGCCAGAGGCUGGGGUCCCUGGCCCUGAAACCAUUCCUAGCUCUCCUUGCCCAAAGAGUCAGGCUUGGUAGAACAUCUCUUCCCCCCAAAAACAUGCUUUUUGCUCUCAGCCCAUUUAGAGUUUACUCACCCUUUGGCCUACUCACUCCAAGAUCCCUGUUCUGGCUGCCACACCUGGCAGCGUGGCACUCACCAGCUUCAUCCAGGACUCCUCGGGUAGACAGUGGGGCAGGUGGGGCAGUCCAGGGAGUUGGGCUUACCCACUCACCAGCUGUGUGACUCUGGACAACUGACAAGUGGCAGAGCCUAGGGUCAUCUACCAGGCAGAGUUCUUAUUUGCAGGUUACAGAGAAUGACUCAGGUGGAUAUGAGGAGAAACAGAAUUUAUUAAAGGAUAGCACAUAGCAAAGGCAAUUGACCAGGAAUAGCAUCUGAAAUUCCACUGAGAAGCUGGUUCCAGAGGAUGCCACUGGCACCCCGGAAAGGUCCUGGUCCCUGUGGUUUGCACAGCAGAUAGGGCCAGAUGUUGGGGAGCUGCUGGUUUCUGUUCUUACAAAGCUGCCUUUGAAAACCAGACAUGGUCAUGGCCACCUCCAUCACCAGAAUGGGGGGUUUUCCCUUCCCCAGCAUGCUGCUUGAGGCCUGGGUGCUCCACUGACGUGGCCAGGGACACCUAUCACAGCCAACCUGCAAAGGAGUAUGAAAAAGUGAGUACAGGAUGGGCGCGGUGGCUCAUGCCUGUAAUCCCAGCACUUUGGGAGGCCGAGGUGGGUGGAUCACGAGGUCAGGAGUUCAAGACCAGCCUGGCCAAGAUGGUGAAAUCCCGUAACUACUAAAAAACUACAAAAAUUAGCCAGGCGUGGUGACAGGUGCCUGUAAUCCCAGCUACUCGGGAGGCUGAGGCAGAAGAAUCGCUUGAACCUGGGCGGCAGAGAUUGCAGUGAGCCGAGAUCGCGCCACUGCACUCCAGCCUGAGUGACAGAGAGAGACUCUGUCUCAAAAAAAAAAAAAAAAAGGAAAAGAAAAGAAAAAAGAAAAAGUGAGUGUCUGGGAUUUUGCAUUUCUGUAAAAGGAGGCAGGCUUUCUGUUUAAUAGAGCGUGGGGAAGCGUCCCCACACAUAAGAAGAUUUCAGCUGCUUGGAGUCAGAAAGAAGGGCAGACAGUCCCACUGUGGCCACAGGCCUCUCUCUGCCUGGUUGCCAAAGAUCCUCCACAGCUGUUGUGUUUAAUGUCAACAUUCUUCUCAAUGAAGAGCUAUACAAGUGCAACUCCAAACACCUCUCUGUCCAAUCUGACUUCUGCCCUGAGCUUCCACUUAGGAUUCGCCUUCCCCCAUCCAUAAUCUACAGGGAGAAUGCACUGAUGAGGGUUCUGGUCCCCAUGACAGUUAUAUUUCUCAGGGUAAGUAAAUAACUGGGGCCGUGCAUGGUGGCUCACACAUGUAAUCCCAGGCUGCAGUUGGGGGAUCACUUGAGGCCAGGAGUUCAAAACCAGCCUGGGAAACACAGGAGACCCUAUCUCCACAAAAAAUACAAGCUGCAGUGAGCUAUGAUUACACCACUGCACUGCAGCCUGGGUCACAGAGUGAAACUCUGUCUCAAAAAAUAAAAAUAAUAAACAAGACAUAGUUGGUAUUUUGAGUUUAGAAAUUGGUCUCUCAUGAGGCUACAGCCAUUGGACAAUGCCCCUAGGCCCAGGUUCUUCUGAGCUGCCAGCCAUUUAGGUUCCCCUUUACCAAGGCUGAUUCCUGUGGGGAUCCCAGCUGGCACCACCCAUGACCAUGAGCCAUCGGUGCCUUUCCAUUCACACAGCCACAGGCUCUUCCUUAGCUACCAUGCAGCAGAAGCAGAAAUCAGAACGUGUAGACUGUGGAUUCACUCACAGAAAGGCUUAAAAUCCCGUUAAAGGAUUUAUUGAAACAUCAACCUUCACUUUAAAACAAUGAAAUUUUAUUCAAUUGGGACUCUGGGAAUGUCCAGAACCCAUGGCUCCUCAGUGCUAAUGUGCUGAACGCUGGGUGCCUCCCAGUUCUGCACUGUGGGAUGGACAAAUGAAUGAAUGAGUGAAUAAGUGGAUGAAGAGCCUGUCCUCCUAGCCCAAGACAGGCGUCCAGCAGUCUGGGUGAGGAGAGGAUUAGGGGUAAAUGAAUCUUUUGAGCACAAGAUGACUGCUCCUUUGCUGGGGAUGGGGCUGGGAGGCCAAUCCAGGUAGUGGGUGGAUGGGAUGAUCUCCUGGAUCCCUUUGUGGGAAUUUUUCCUGAAGAUGCCCGAAGAUUUAAGAUUGGAGUCAAACAAGGAGAGCAGACACAGAAUUGAUUAAAGCAGCGGGGGAUGGGAUGGUCCUGCCCUGUGCGCAUUGCUUUAAAAGGCCUAACAAAGGCAUCAAAUGCUUUUUUCUUUAUGUAUGAAGAGAAAAGAGGGAAAUGUAUAAGCUCCUUUUUUUCAAAUGUUGUUCCUUCCGCCAAAGAAAAGAUACAAGUAUUUGUACUAUAGCGCUAGCUGUCCAUUUGAUUACUAUACCCAGGACAACAAAUUUAUAUUAUUCCUGAGCGAGAUCUUUGGAGGUUAACUUUCCAUCCCAUAGUUCAUUAAUCUCUGCCAUCCAGGGUUCGAGUGAGUACAUUGGCUAUGCUGGAGAAUGUUUUUAAUCUCCAAAUUUACUCAAGAAGUUUCUUCUAACGGUUGCAUUAUUUCAACCUCAUCUGCUUCACUCCUGUUCCAGGUCUCCUCCCAUCCUUCCUACCAGGCCAGCAUUUCUACUCUGUGCAGCUACCAGCGAGGAGGGCCUGUGGGCUCAAAGACCCAACAGGAAUUCCUGCAGAAGCCCCAUAGCUUGAAGAGGGACCGUGGGAUGAAUGAGCCUGCAUGCAGCCUGGAAUGCAAAGGUUGUGCUGCUCUCCCGCAGCAGAGGGAAAGGGAGAGGGGAGAGGAAGGAGAGGGGUAGGGAGGCCACAGUGGGACAGUGGGAGGGAGAGAGAACAGAGGGCAGGUGGGCUGUGGCCAGCUGCGGGGCUCAGGAGGAGCCGCAGGCCUGCCAGCGUGUUUCUCUGUGUUAGAACCGGCCUGAGAAAGAAACUACCUGGAGGUGGGAGUCGCGGGAAGCUGAGAAGGGCUGGCAGCUGAGCAGCUCUUGGACGUGGCCCUCGGCUCCUACCUGUGCUUCCCUGUGCAGGGAGAAAGCUGCAGGAUGGCCAGGGGGUCCUGCUAGGGACAGAGCUCCCCACUCAUCAAGGCCUGGGUUGGAGGGACCCCUGGGACAGUGCAAGAGGAGGAGUUUGGGGUAGGGGCAGAGGGCCUGGCAGGUGGCCCAGAGCAGCAAGCAGGUGCUCCAUAGAGAAUGUCCUCAUAUCCUUCUGCUGGGGAGAGGGACCUGACUCCCUAGUGCUCACGGGCGAGGGCCAGCUCUCUGUUGGAUGAGCCCCCCACUGCAUCAGUGGCAGCAGUUGUGGGUGUGAGCCCCAAAUACUUCUGCUGUCUAUUCAAAAUGGGGAUACUGGCAGGUUGUCUGCACCUCCCAGUAGUGCCGGGCUAGCUGGUGAGAUGGCCCUGGGGAACUGCGCUUCCCCCAGUAUGGGGUGUGGGUGAGGGUGGACGGGCCAGUGGAACUUCUGUGCUGCUGCUGGCCAACUCAGGCCUUCACUAGGCAGCCUCUCCUCUGUGGAGGACGGCUGAAACUGCAGGAGUUGAGUUGGAAGGUGAGGAGAGGGUCCCAGGCCUGGAGCAAGAACAUGGCCAUGCGUGUCUGUCCCUCCACUCCCUUGCGUGGGGACACCUUCCCAGAAUGCUGCCCCCACCCCUCCUCCCACAUCACUUUCCUUCCCCUCUCCAGCCCCUCCCCUCACUUGAAAGCCUGUACCAGGGGCUCCUCUCCUCCAGCCCCUUCAGCCAAGAGGCUCCAAGUUCUGGAGCAAGUAUGCUCCCUCCCCUCCCCUCUGAGGGGUUUGUGGGGCCCUUGGGGCCUCCUGGGAACGUCCCAGGUGCUUCGGCCCAAGAUCUGUGCUGAUUCAAUGCCACCCCCACAGCUGGGCAGAGCCUUGAGAUGGACACUCCCUGCAAACCCUGCCCAGCCUAGAGCUGAGCACGGGGCUUUGGGGCCCCCCAAUGGCUCUGCUCAGUCAUUCUUCAGGGCCAGGGACCACCUUCUGGAGCCUGAGCCAGAACCUGAGCCUCCCUUCAGGCUCUUCUCUCAGCCACACCACCACCCCCCGCCUGCUUCUCACCGCCCAGCCCACAUCAAGCCCUAAUUCUACCCUUUUUAUUCCAUGUAAGAGCUUGCCCAAAAGGAGCUCUCGCCCCUAGCAACAGAAAAAGGCUUCUGUUCUUAGAAAUACAGCAGCCAUUUGUCCAUGCCUGGAGACCCUCUUGUUCUGCCCUAGUACAUCGCCUUCCCAGCUGUGGCCAGAAAUUGGCUUUUCUUCCAUUUCUACUUCCUUGCUGAAGCCAUCUUCUCCACCUGUCUGGUGUUCAUUGCACCAGGCAUCCUGCUAUUGCUAUUCUAUACUGGGGUUCUGGAGCAGCAGGAGUGUGGCCCCAAGGCAGGAACGCCUCCCAUUGCCUUGAUGACAUUCAGCAAAUCACUCUUGCCCUGGGGACCAGGUUUUCCUUCUGUAAAAUGAGGGGGAGUGGACCUCAUCAUCUCUGAUUCCUUCCAGCUUUAGAAUCUGUUUCUGUGAUGAUGUUGGGGAUUGUGCAGACCUAGUUUCCUUUGUUUACAAGAUGUGGAGACUAAGAAACCCAUAGAAGUGUGAAGUAUAGAGUAUCAAGAGCACUCCCUCUGCCUGUUCUGGGGUGUACACUGUUACCCACACUUCCAGGGAGAAAGCGCCCUGGUUGAGGGAGUGGUGCCAAUGUGCAGACACAUCCCAGCCUGGGACCCAGGGCUGCCCGUGCCCAUCCCCCAAUAGCCCUGCUGCUCCCUUCCCCCUCGCCUCCCUCCAGGGCUGUGGAGAGGAAGAAACGAGAUGCUCCCUCUUCAGAUGCCCUGCCCAUAGGAAGGCCCAUGCAGAUCCUCGGGACUAUGCUCUGUUCUGUUCAAUCCACCUGGUGGGUCUGACCACCAGGACAUGGCCCUGCCUUCCAGGGAGUAGACACUGUGUCUGCACUGUGCUCCUCUCUUGUGACAAGAGCAGGCUUGGUGCUAUGGAGGCUUCCCAAGGCGUCCUGUAGGAGCAUUAAUCACUGAAGGAAGGGCCAGGGCAGUAGCAGGCCAGGGACAGUGGGCCCUUCCACGGAGCACAGAGCAGUGGGCCCCGCAGGAGAGGCAGGUAGGGGUGGAGGUGAGGCGCUCAGGAGCAACGCAGCCCUGUCUCCACAGCCCGGCAAGGGAUUUUAUGGAAUACUUGAGAAAAAAAUCAUCAAUGAAUAUGAUGGAUGCCCCCCAGCAGAGGUGCAGGGGUCCCCCCUUUUGGAUCCAGGAAGCAAAAAGCUGGGGUCCUGGCCUGAGUCUGAGCAGAGGACAGUUUUGAACAAGGAGGUCCACAGGGCAAGAGGAGGGUGGGAGUGCUCCCAUGCACAUGGAUCACUGUGCUUUGGAGUGUGUGUCCCCACUGAUGGGGAUGAGGAUGAGUGUGAGACCAAAGGCAGCCCUCUUGGGGUAGGCAGGGGCCAAGGCCCACAGGUGGGGGCUGGGGAGGAUGUGUUCUUAACAGGCGUGGCCAGACGCCUCCUCCUUCAGAAGACCUGGAAGAAGCAGGUGGAGGGAGAAGCAGAGUCACAGAGGCAAGGCAGAGACUCAGAGGCCCGGAGACUGGGGUGGCCGCAGGCAGGGCCUCCCCAGCCCCACUGCUUUCCGAGCUAGCUAUCUCCAGGAGGCCAGCCUGCCCACAGGGCCCCAAAGCCCCAACCCCCAGGUGGCCCUCCCCUCUUGCAGCUGCCACAGUUUCUGCAGGGCUGCUUUGUCAGACCUCUUAGAACACAAGCAGCAGAACUAGGAAGGCCCUCAGAAUGAAGGAGACGCAGGCACCGUGGGAGCCCAGGGCCCCUUUCCAUUGCACCAGUGCUCCAUCCUCCCACAUCUCCCAAAGAUCAGCCCUCCUCAGUGACCCCGGGAGCCCAGGAAGAUCAAGGAUCGAGACUGUCGCCCUGGACCUGCCUGCUGUGUAGCUCUGGGUGCAAGUCAAAGAUCAAGCUGAAGUAAAGUUCACCUGCAUCUCGUUAUUGGGCCAUGAGAAAUAGCAGCCCGACCCUCAGUUUGAUCCAGGAACAAUCUCACCAGGGCUUGCCAUCAGCCCAGGACAAUUGACAAGGAUGAAAUGGCAUCUUGGCGCUUUUGCUGAACAAGGCAACACUGGGUCUGUCUGACCUGAGGACACUCCAUCCCAGCAGGACCCUAAUGGAGCAACCCACCUGGUCUUUCACCUGUCAGAGGAAAGCACCUCUUCAAGCACAUGGCCAGGGAGGCUGAUGGGGCUGGAAAGCAGGAACCAUACACCACCUGGGUCUGUGCCUGGGAAGGUCUGCUGCUACCACCUCUUGGGGGUCCCCACCCUGAGCUCAGUGGGCCCCCAGCCCACACCACAGGCUGAGGGAGGCUUGGUUGUCAUGGUGACGUCCAGGUACCCAGAAUAAAGAAGGGGCUGCUGGGGAGUGGCACAGUCAUCUGUACAUCAAAAACAGUUGCUGGCUCUGCUCCUUUCCAGCUUUGCACUGACCUGUCUAUCCAGGCCUCACUUGGGCCAGAGCCCAGCUUCACGAAGCCUUGCCUGGCCUUGUCAGGCACAAUCAAUUGUUCCCUCAUCUGAUCAGCCCUUACACCCGUCCACGGCAGGCUGGCCACUGCACUAUGCUAACUUGAGCUGCGUCUGUUCCCUGGCCAGGGUGGGGUGCUCCCCUGCGGUCUACUUUAAUGAGUCCACCCCCACCACAGCUCUCUGGGAGGGUUCCUAGGCAGACUGCACCUUGGCUGAGCCAAUAAGUGGAACCCACCCCCCCUUCCUAUCUACUCCUUUGACCCAGAUCAAGCAUCAGCUCCCGUGAGCUCUUCUCCCAAGAAUUUUAGUCCUGUUCAUCUCUGUGUUGACACCGUUCAUGUCCAAUAAGCUUCUCUUGCAGUUGAUGGGUGUGGGGUGGGGUGAGGGCAAGAGGGCCCAAAUGGGCUGCUGAAGCCAGGCCUGGGAAGGAGGGGCUAGGGAGCAGUGGGGAUAUGGGAAAUGAGGGCAGGCCACGGCAUAAGGAAGGGGAAGGCUGGCUUCCUGGCCCCUUGCUGGCCAGACACACUGUCCUGGAGCUCUGAGUAGCUUUAAACCAUACCCACCAGGAAUUAAGUGUUGAGAGAAAAUGAGCCUGCAGGUGCUGGGGUUUGGAACAAUGCCAUGUGAAGAGGCCUCCUUUCAAGGCUGCUGGAUCAGGUGACCUUGAGGACAUCUCACACUGAGAGGGUGGGGUACAGCGUGUAAAGGUGUGCCUAAUGGAUGCCAGUGUGUGGAGGAGGGCCCACUCCAUCCCAGGAGGCAGAUGUUGGUCAGGAGCGUGAAUGGGGGACUUAGCUCCUGGUCAUAGAUAUGUGCAGGCGUCAGCUGUAGGACUCUGGUGAACAGGAGAGGCAGGUCCAGGUGUAUUUACAUUUCUUUCUGACUCUGCCUAAUUAUUUCUCCCAAUUGCUCCCACUUUGAGCCCAGCCCAAGGUUGUCCUUUGAUCAACACUGCCAUGCCUCCCAACGCUAAUCUGCCAACCAUAAGCGUCCCGAGCUUCUCUCGCCCGGACAUUAACCAUGAGUCCUCUGGGCUGGCAUGUGCAAUGGGCCCAGCCGGAGUGCUGCUGGGAAACCUGCUCAGGGGGCGAGCUGAGCCUCCUGGGAUAAUUCUGACUAAAUGAUUCUUCACGGAGUUGACUUGAAAUGUGAUGAAUGGGUCCCCAGUGCUCUUAAAGCCUCCGAAGUCAGAGCCACAGAAAAGACUCUGGGAGUGGCCUUGAGUCCAGCCCUGGAGAAAACCAAAGGUUGGAGUCAUGAAGUAACUGCUUAUCCACUCAGUGACGGCAGAGUUGAAACUAGGACCCAGGACUUGCCUCCUUCUUCUUCUCAUGCCACAAAGAUAAGAACAUGCAUUUCCUGACAUGCAAUUUGCUAACCUCUUCCCAGGUUAUGUGUGUGAAAGUACCAGGCUACCAGAUGGCGUUGAGUCCGAAUUAAGGUGGUGUCUCAUUGCAUUUCACAUCAUGACCAAGCAAUGUCUUACCACCCCACAAAAAGCCAACUGAGGCUUCCUUGAGUGGAAAGACCACAGUGUUGAGGGCAGGGGCUCUGUGAGCAGGUACCUAGAGCUAGAAGUCAAAACAAGGAAAUGUUUCGAGGGAGGAAGGCAAGUUAAAUGUCAGGCCUCUGAGCCCAAGUUAAGCCAUCAUCAUAUGCCCUGUGAUUUGCACGUAUACAUCCAGAUGGCCUGAAGCAACUGAAGAUCCACAAAAGAAGUGAAAAUAGCCUGUUACCGCCUUAACUGAUGACAUUCCACCACUGUGAUUUGUUCCUGCCCCACCCUAACUGAUCAAUUGACUUUGUGACAAUACACCCUCCCCACCCUUGAGAAGGUACUUUGUAAUAUACUCCCCGACCCUUAGGAAGGUGCUUGGUAAUAUUCUCCCCACCCUUGAGAAUAUACUUUGUAAGAUCCACCCCCUGCCCACAAAAAAUUGCUCCUAACUCCACCACCUAUUCCAAACCUAGAAGAACUAAUGAAAAUCCCAUCAUCCUUUGCUGACUCUUUUCGGACUCAGCCCAACUGCACCCAGGUGAUUAAAAAGCUUUAUUGCUCACA
Molecule: long non-coding RNA, 10531 nt
Organism: Homo sapiens (human)
Lineage: Eukaryota; Metazoa; Chordata; Mammalia; Primates; Hominidae
Exons: 4
Source: RefSeq, a predicted model, not a curated record